Molecule: long non-coding RNA, 2337 nt
Organism: Diceros bicornis minor
Lineage: Eukaryota; Metazoa; Chordata; Mammalia; Perissodactyla; Rhinocerotidae
Exons: 4
Source: RefSeq, a predicted model, not a curated record
GGCGGCGCCCGCCCGCCGGCCCUGGGAUGCACGUGAACUUGGAGAAAGUCGCGGGGCGCGCGAGCCCGGACCUCCGCGGCAGGGCGUGGGCGUCCCCCGCUCGGCGCGCUUUCGUUUUCGUCCAGGACAAAGGUCCUCGCGGCGCUGGUCGCAGACGCGGAGACCGAGUCCUGCGGGCCACUCUUCGGCGAGGUCCGGUCGUUCAAUCCAGGGAAGCUGGAGCCGGGAGAAGAGGCGCGGCGCGGUGCGGGAGCGGGGAAGUGGGGCCUGGCCGUGCGCUUCGCCCACCCGGUCCCAGACCGUCCCGCCCUGCGGAGAGUUGCGAGAGAUGGCACUGCUUUGCUCUCUGCCGUUUCGACGUGUGAAGGAGGGAAGCGUUUGGAACCCAGGACUCAGACCAAUGACCCAGGGCCUGUGCAGCCUCGGGCACGGGAGCGCAGUGCCGGCCGUGUCCGGGCGCGUUCCUCUGGCAAGGACAGGGCUGUCGAUCUGCGCGCUCCGGGUGACGAUCGGGUUCAAGGCGACUCCUGAGGACGAACGUGGCUCGUCCCAGAGCACCCCCAAGAAAGUGGGCGCCCAUCGUGGCCUUUGGAAGAUGCUCUAGGACCCACCGCCCAGGUCUCACCCCUUCUUUCCAGCCACUUCGUUCCCCAGGUGAUGCCUGAAGCCCAGACGGCCGUGUCACCUCAGGUUGCCUCUGGCCUCCCCCAUCAGACUAGACAUGGCCUGAAGGAGCCGUGGUCCGUUGCAGUGUGUCUGGAUGGAAGAGGAGCACUCAGCCCCGUCUCCCUCUGCAUGGUGAGGACUCACUGUCCCCGGGUCACCGUGUGCCAGCCGCCCCCCGGGCUCGCCCCACCACCUCCAUCCAGGCUUGCCCUGCCAGGACUCUGGGGCUUGGAGUCCCCGAGGUGUCCCCUCCUCUCCUCCCAGCUGUGAACCAGCCCUUGAGUGAGUUAUUAAUAUACCUAGGCUGCCUGCCAUCAUCUGAGGUGCCACACGGGCGAGUCUCGCCUGAAACAAGAACAAAGGCCAAAUGAGGGAAACUGAGUCACAUCUGCUCCCGGGCUGGGCUGGGGGCCCAGGGUGGGGCUUGUGGUGAUGGCCAGGGUGGGUGUGUCUUCCUGUACCCCCCCUCUCCAUGCCUCACCACCCCGUGGAGCCCAGUUCUGCAGCCUGUGGCUCCCAGCUGGGGCUGGGGCCCUCCUGGGGUCAGCACUGCAGGCUCUGAGCUGAAGCCCAGGCGCAGGGAGGGCAGGCGGGUGGAGGCCGCAGGGUGGGGGCUGUCGCAGUCUGCGUGGUGGCACACACGUGGAUUCCAGCUGCGAUGUUAGUUAAGGGUGGCCAGGCUGCCGCCCACAUUCCCGUUGGGUGGCUGCUGCAUUGACCCACGUCUCAGUAGGAAGUCAAGGCCCAGGAGGGUGUAAGGUGUGCCCAGAAAAGCCCAGCGAGGAGCCCGGCUGGGGUUCGCAGCCAUCUCCACCUGCUGGGCCAUCCUGCCCCAUGCCACCCUCAGCCUGCUGGGGCUACGCUCAGGGUCCCUGCCGCCUGAGGGUGUUGAGGUCUCAGGGGCUAAGUCAGGAGCCCUGAGCGCUCGCUCAGGGUGCCUCCCCUAGAGUCACUCCCAGACAUUCACAGGGAGCCCUGGGCUGGGAGCCAGGUCCUUGGCCUGUUUCCUCCCCGGCAACGAGGCUAAUGACAACCAGUCACCCCAUAAGGCAUCAGCAAACAGCCAGAAUCUUCCUGCCUGGACGCUCCAUUGCUGGGAGGGGCCAAGGGAAGACCCUCAGUCACUGUUCCCUCCACCCCCACCCUGGUGGCUGGCUGCCUCUGCCUGGAGCAUCCCUGGUGUCACGCUGGUCCUGUCUGCCAGCCACGGAGUCCAUGUGGAGGCAGGGGACCGGGACCUGAGACCCUCUCACGCAGAUUUCUUUCUGGGGCCUUGAGGGGACACAGAGUGUCCGUGAUCACAGGCCAACUGGGUCCUGGGCAGGGGGUUCAGGCUGCGUUGGGACAUUCCUGCCCCCCCCCCAUGACUGCACCUCAGUCUCCUGUGCUGGGUGGACUGUGCUGGGCAUGGCCCCUGAUGUUGUUGGCCCUGGCUCAGGGUCCUGGGACUUCCUCUCUGCCCCUCGGUGGGGAGGGUACACUGCCCUGUAUAGGGUGCUGUCAGCACAGCGCCUGACACCCAGGGGUUCAGGGAGCAGUAGCUACCUGCUUGUUGGGACCAGGCAUGAGACCUUCCUCUGCGGCAGUGGCCAAGGCCAGGCCUGGGACAGCCCGAGAGCAAGCCCCCUCCCCUGACCUGGGGUCAGGGAUCCUGACCUUCUGAGCCUCAGU